Molecule: ribosomal RNA, 383 nt
Filed under: uncultured bacterium
Lineage: Bacteria
Description: bacterial SSU rRNA
Rfam family: Bacterial small subunit ribosomal RNA
Source: RNAcentral
UGGGAAUAUUGGACAAUGGGCGCAAGCCUGAUCCAGCCAUGCCGCGUGAGUGAUGAAGGCCCUAGGGUUGUAAAGCUCUUUCACCGGUGAAGAUAAUGACGGUAACCGGAGAAGAAGCCCCGCUAACUUCGUGCCAGCAGCCGCGGUAAUACGAAGGGGGCGUAGCGUUGUUCGGAUUUACUGGGCGUAAAGCGCACGUAGGCGGACUAUUAAGUCAGGGGUGAAAUCCCGGGGGCUCAACCCCGGAACUGCCUUUGAUACUGGUAGUCUUGAGUUCGAGAGAGGUGAGUGGAAUUCCGAGUGUAGAGGUGAAAUUUCGUAGAUAUUCGGAGGAACACCAGUGGCGAAGGCGGCUCACUGGCUCGAUACUGACGCUGAGGUGC